AUCCCAUGAUGAGGACAAGUGGCAAUAUAUUCUUGGUGCCUCUCUCAAGCUUCUGGAAUUGAUUCCAAAGCUGUGUGCUGAAAACUGGAAAUUUUACCUCUAAGGGC
This is a small nucleolar RNA of Panicum virgatum (switchgrass), 107 nucleotides long. The record is from RefSeq and is a predicted model, not a curated record. Lineage: Eukaryota; Viridiplantae; Streptophyta; Magnoliopsida; Poales; Poaceae.